This 1445-nucleotide ribosomal RNA is filed under the name uncultured organism. RNAcentral's name for it is "SSU rRNA". It matches the Rfam family "Bacterial small subunit ribosomal RNA". The record is from RNAcentral.
UACAGGCUUAACACAUGCAAGUCGAGGGGCAGCAUGGUCUUAGCUUGCUAAGGCCGAUGGCGACCGGCGCACGGGUGAGUAACACGUAUCCAACCUGCCGUCUACUCUUGGACAGCCUUCUGAAAGGAAGAUUAAUACAAGAUGGCAUCAUGAGUCCGCAUGUUCACAUGAUUAAAGGUAUUCCGGUAGACGAUGGGGAUGCGUUCCAUUAGAUAGUAGGCGGGGUAACGGCCCACCUAGUCUUCGAUGGAUAGGGGUUCUGAGAGGAAGGUCCCCCACAUUGGAACUGAGACACGGUCCAAACUCCUACGGGGGGCAGCAGUGAGGAAUAUUGGUCAAUGGGCGAGAGCCUGAACCAGCCAAGUAGCGUGAAGGAUGACUGCCCUAUGGGUUGUAAACUUCUUUUAUAAAGGAAUAAAGUCGGGUAUGGAUACCCGUUUGCAUGUACUUUAUGAAUAAGGAUCGGCUAACUCCGUGCCAGCAGCCGCGGUAAUACGGAGGAUCCGAGCGUUAUCCGGAUUUAUUGGGUUUAAAGGGAGCGUAGAUGGAUGUUUAAGUCAGUUGUGAAAGUUUGCGGCUCAACCGUAAAAUUGCAGUUGAUACUGGAUAUCUUGAGUGCAGUUGAGGCAGGCGGAAUUCGUGGUGUAGCGGUGAAAUGCUUAGAUAUCACGAAGAACUCCGAUUGCGAAGGCAGCCUGCUAAGCUGCAACUGACAUUGAGGCUCGAAAGUGUGGGUAUCAAACAGGAUUAGAUACCCUGGUAGUCCACACGGUAAACGAUGAAUACUCGCUGUUUGCGAUAUACUGCAAGCGGCCAAGCGAAAGCGUUAAGUAUUCCACCUGGGGAGUACGCCGGCAACGGUGAAACUCAAAGGAAUUGACGGGGGCCCGCACAAGCGGAGGAACAUGUGGUUUAAUUCGAUGAUACGCGAGGAACCUUACCCGGGCUUAAAUUGCAGAUGAAUUACGGUGAAAGCCGUAAGCCGCAAGGCAUCUGUGAAGGUGCUGCAUGGUUGUCGUCAGCUCGUGCCGUGAGGUGUCGGCUUAAGUGCCAUAACGAGCGCAACCCUUGUUGUCAGUUACUAACAGGUUCCGCUGAGGACUCUGACAAGACUGCCAUCGUAAGAUGUGAGGAAGGUGGGGAUGACGUCAAAUCAGCACGGCCCUUACGUCCGGGGCUACACACGUGUUACAAUGGGGGGUACAGAGGGCCGCUACCACGCGAGUGGAUGCCAAUCCCCAAAACCUCUCUCAGUUCGGACUGGAGUCUGCAACCCGACUCCACGAAGCUGGAUUCGCUAGUAAUCGCGCAUCAGCCACGGCGCGGUGAAUACGUUCCCGGGCCUUGUACACACCGCCCGUCAAGCCAUGGGAGCCGGGGGUACCUGAAGUGCGUAACCGCGAGGAGCGCCCUAGGGUAAAACUGGUGACUGGGGCUAAGUCAUA